GGCAACAGCUCAAAUUUGAAAUCUGGCUCUUUUAGAGUCCGAGUUGUAAUUUAGAGAAGUGUUACCCGUGCUGGGCCGUGUACAAGUCUCCUGGAAUGGAGCGUCAUAGAGGGUGAGAAUCCCGUCUUUGACACGGAAUCCAGUACAUUGUGGUGCGCUCUC
RNAcentral lists this ribosomal RNA (162 nucleotides) under Marasmiaceae sp. Its description in RNAcentral is "partial large subunit ribosomal RNA". It matches the Rfam family "Eukaryotic large subunit ribosomal RNA", at positions 100 to 258 of the family's 3401-position model. The record is from RNAcentral. Lineage: Eukaryota; Fungi; Basidiomycota; Agaricomycetes; Agaricales; Marasmiaceae.